CGGGUGAGUAACGCGUGGGUAAUCUGCCUUUGUCAAGGGGAUAACAUACCGAAAGGGAUGCUAAUACCGUAUGAAAUAUAUUCAAGGCAUCUUGGAUAUAUCAAAGAUGAGUCGGACAAAGAUGAGCCCGCGUUCGAUUAGCCAGUUGGUGAGGUAAAGGCUCACCAAAGCAACGAUCGAUAGCCGGCCUGAGAGGGUGAACGGCCACAUUGGAACUGAGAGACGGUCCAAACUCC
Molecule: ribosomal RNA, 236 nt
Filed under: uncultured bacterium
Lineage: Bacteria
Description: partial 16S ribosomal RNA
Rfam family: Bacterial small subunit ribosomal RNA
Source: RNAcentral